CAUAGUCCAGCUGAGAAACGGCCUCACUUAUAGCCUUUGCUUAUUUACUCAUUCAUUCAUUCAUUCAUUCACUCUUGAUAUUUAUUUGCAGGAAGCCUUACAAAAGAUAGGAACUUCAAUGGGCUCUGGCCCCUGUCUUUGAGGAGCUCCAGCUGGUGGAAAAGACAGAUGAGGGGUCUUCAUCUAAUACAGGAAGACAGGCCCCUAUCCCUGCCUGGGGUAUCAAGGAAGGAUCCCUGGAGAAGGUGAUUCUUUGGUGGAAUGUGGACAGGAAAGGGGAGAGUGUUCUUAGCAGAGAGGCCUUCUGGAGAUAUGAGGUCAUAGGGUAACUGCAAGUGUUUGAGUUUGCUUGAGGGGAGGCUGAGAGAUCACCAGAGCCAGGUCCCAACAGGCCUCAAAUGCCAGGCUACAAAUUUGGCCUCUGUAUUGUGGGUGCCAACCAAGGAGCCCUCGAUGGUGUGUAACGCAGGGUAGAGGUGUGACCAAAUUUGAGAUUAGGAGGUCCCUUGUGCUGUUGAAUGGAGGAUAGGAUUGGAUAUGGUGAGAGUCCAGGUCAGAGACAGUAGGGUCCUGGUUCCGGGGCUGGCAUAGCAAGCCAAAUCAGAGUCCUUGAAUGCCAGGCUCACAGCAGCCUUUCAACUCUCUUCCACACACCUCUUCACAAGCCCUGACAACCAGAGUGCUAAAAAGACAGAUUGGGGUGGGGUGAAGGUUCUCAGAGAUGCCCUGGUCUGGUCUUAUCCUAGGGUCACAGCCAGGAAUCUGAGGCCCAGAGCACGCAAGAGGAUGGCCUAUAGCCCUGAAGAGACUCAGCUGGUGAGGGCUGGAGCUCCUACAGCACAAGAGUCUGGCCCUGCCCUGGUCCUUGUGCCCAGCACUGUUCCCUGGGGGCACUCCCCCUUCCAUACCAGCCUGUGUUUCUGCAAGGCACAGCUGAGGAGGACAAAACAGGAAGAAAUCAUAUGCCAUCUGCUCCAGGGAACUGUGGCCUGGGCUGGUCCCACCCUGCCCAAGGGAGUCAGAUGAUCUCAUCAGCACUGCUCAGCCAGGCCCCACUCCUGUGCCCAGCCCCACCAGCUUUCCCAGGGUGGGCUGGGUGAAGAGGCCCAGUUCUGGUCCCUGGAGCUUAUAGAUAUGAUGAAGCCUCCUCAGUGUCUGGGCUUGUGCUUGACUUGGACCCCACCCAGGGAAGGUCAUGGGCUUGGGGGAGUAUAUGGGACUACAUGGGAGAUACGGUUACUAUUUAAAGUAGUCAGUGCCAGGUGCCUGCCAUCCUUCAGUCUCACCCAC
Molecule: long non-coding RNA, 1290 nt
Filed under: Canis lupus dingo (dingo)
Lineage: Eukaryota; Metazoa; Chordata; Mammalia; Carnivora; Canidae
Description: lncRNA (ENSCAFG00020002259.1)
Source: RNAcentral